GCGGGGGUAGUUCAAUUGGUAGAACGCAACCUUGCCAAGGUUGAGGUCGAGGGUUCGAAACCCUUCUCCCGCU
Molecule: transfer RNA, 73 nt
Filed under: Wolbachia endosymbiont of Meromenopon meropis
Lineage: Bacteria; Pseudomonadati; Pseudomonadota; Alphaproteobacteria; Rickettsiales; Anaplasmataceae
Description: tRNA-Gly
Rfam family: tRNA
About the family: Transfer RNA (tRNA) molecules are approximately 80 nucleotides in length.
Source: RNAcentral